RNAcentral lists this long non-coding RNA (829 nucleotides) under Nicotiana tabacum (common tobacco). RNAcentral's name for it is "long non-coding RNA (NTAB_LNC003455)". The record is from RNAcentral. Lineage: Eukaryota; Viridiplantae; Streptophyta; Magnoliopsida; Solanales; Solanaceae.
UUUUUUCUAAAAAAAAAAGAGAUAGCAGCGGCGUACAUCGAGCAAAAAGGAAAAUGAGAGCUCUUCUCUAAUCAGACCCCUAUAGAAAAACGGCACCCUCUAGCUCCAUUAUUCUUCUUUUUGAUUUCCCAAAAAUCACACACAAAAAAGAACCCAGCAGCUCUUUAAUUAUGAGAACCCAGUAGCUCUCAAAUUUCUUCAUUUUCUACUGUCUGUUGAAAAGAGUGUAUGAUUAUAAGGAUAGCAACCAUUUUUAGCUUCAUCCUAAAAGAAAGAGAAACAGCCACCCAUCUCUAACCUCACUCAAAAAUCAAAAAAAAAAAAGAAAAAAAGAGAAGAAGAAGUCGAUAAAAAAAUAUAUAUAUAUAAUCAGAAGCACGCUUGAAGAUUUUGAAAAGGUAGAUUCGAAACUAAAAAAAAGAUUUAGCUGGGUUGGAAACACACUGUUUGUGCUACUGCUUCGGAACCCCAUCAAUGGUAUUGUGGCUUGUGCUUGGUCCAUGCCCGUUGAUUCUCUGCGAUUAGGUAUGUAAACCUUUGCCUAAGAUGCUCCAUUGAUUAUGAAUGGAAGUCUGAGUUGUUUUGGCUAUGUCUGUGCUUAAGUGUUUGAAUCGAUUGCAGUUAUUUUCAUGUUAAGCUUAGGCUCUGAUUUUUUUUUAGGUUGAGAUUGUGCUGAAAUUAUGUGAUUUGCAUUUAAUUAGAUCUUAUGCAAAUUUAGAUUCAACCUCAUCAUGAGUUUAAUCUGAGAAGCAAGAGAUGAAUGUUGAAAGAUUGAUUUGAAUGUUGGUAUGUAAUUCACUAAUAAUUUCCGUUUGUUGUUCUGGACACG